RNAcentral lists this ribosomal RNA (254 nucleotides) under uncultured bacterium. Its description in RNAcentral is "partial 16S ribosomal RNA". It matches the Rfam family "Bacterial small subunit ribosomal RNA", at positions 524 to 776 of the family's 1533-position model. The record is from RNAcentral.
GACGGAGGGUGCUAGCGUUGUUCGGAAUCACUGGGCGUAAAGGGCGCGUAGGCGGCCCAUGCAGUCGGUUAGUGAAAGCCCGGGGCUCAACCCCGGAGGUGCGGCCGAAACACAUGGGCUGGAGGCCGGAAGAGGAGGGUGGAAUACCCAGUGUAGAGGUGAAAUUCGUAGAUAUUGGGUGGAACACCGGUGGCGAAAGCGGCUCUCUGGUCCGGACCUGACGCUGAGGCGCGAAAGCGUGGGGAGCGAACAGG